UAAUACGUAGGGUGCGAACGUUGUUCGGAAUCACUGGGCAUAAAGGGCGCGUAGGCGGUCCAUUAAGUCCUUUGUGAAAGCCCCCGGCUCAACCGGGGAAUUGCAGGGGAUACUGUUGGGCUUGAGUGCAGGAGGGGAGAGCGGAAUUCCUGGUGGAGCGGUGAAAUGCGUAGAUAUCAGGAGGAACGCCGGUGGCGAAAGCGGCUCUCUGGUCUGUUACUGACGCUGAGGCGCGAAAGCUAGGGGAGCAAACGGGAUUAGAUACCCCGGUAGUCCUAGCCCUAAACGAUGGGUACUAAGUAGAGGGGACUCCGAUGUUCUCUCUGCCGGAGCUAAUGUAUUAAGUACCCCGCCUGGGGAGUAUGGUCGCAAGGCUA
This 377-nucleotide ribosomal RNA is filed under the name uncultured bacterium. RNAcentral's name for it is "bacterial SSU rRNA". It matches the Rfam family "Bacterial small subunit ribosomal RNA", at positions 521 to 896 of the family's 1533-position model. The record is from RNAcentral.